GAUGAACGCCGACAGAAUGCUUAACACAUGCAAGUCUACUUGAAGCUAACUUCGGUUAGUGGAUGGUGGCGGACGGGUGAGUAACGCGUAAAGAACUUGCCUCACAGUUUGGGACAACAUUUGGAAACGAAUGCUAAUACCGGAUAUUAUGAUACUUCCGCAUGGAAGAAUCAUGAAAGCUAUAUGCGCUGUGAGAGAGCUUUGCGUCCCAUUAGCUAGUUGGAGAGGUAACGGCUCACCAAGGCGAUGAUGGGUAGCCGGCCUGAGAGGGUGAACGGCCACAAGGGGACUGAGACACGGCCCUUACUCCUACGGGAGGCAGCAGUGGGGAAUAUUGGACAAUGGACCAAAAGUCUGAUCCAGCAAUUCUGUGUGCACGAUGAAGUUUUUCGGAAUGUAAAGUGCUUUCAGUUGGGAAGAAGCAAGUGACGGUACCAACAGAAGAAGCGACGGCUAAAUACGUGCCAGCAGCCGCGGUAAUACGUAUGUCGCAAGCGUUAUCCGGAUUUAUUGGGCGUAAAGCGCGUCUAGGUGGUUAUAUAAGUCUGAUGUGAAAAUGCGGGGCUCAACUCCGUAUUGCGUUGGAAACUGUAUGACUAGAGUACUGGAGAGGUAAGCGGAACUACAAGUGUAGAGGUGAAAUUCGUAGAUAUUUGUAGGAAUGCCGAUGGGGAAGCCAGCUUACUGGACAGAUACUGACGCUAAAGCGCGAAAGCGUGGGUAGCAAACAGG
RNAcentral lists this ribosomal RNA (732 nucleotides) under uncultured bacterium. RNAcentral's name for it is "bacterial SSU rRNA". It matches the Rfam family "Bacterial small subunit ribosomal RNA", at positions 28 to 776 of the family's 1533-position model. The record is from RNAcentral.